UAGGGAAUCUUCGGCAAUGGACGAAAGUCUGACCGAGCAACGCCGCGUGAGUGAAGAAGGUCUUCGGAUCGUAAAACUCUGUUGUUAGAGAAGAACAAUGACGUUAGUAACUGAACGUCCCCUGACGGUAUCUAACCAGAAAGCCACGGCUAACUACGUGCCAGCAGCCGCGGUAAUACGUAGGUGGCAAGCGUUGUCCGGAUUUAUUGGGCGUAAAGCGAGCGCAGGCGGUUUCUUAAGUCUGAUGAGAAAGCCCACGGCUCAACCGGGGAGGGUCAUUGGAAACUGGGGGACUUGAGUGCAGAAGAGGGGAGUAGAAUUCCAUGUGUAGCGGUGAAAUGCGUAGAUAUAUGGAGGAACACCAGUGGCGAAGGCGGCUCUCUGGUCUGUAACUGACGCUGAGGCUCGAAAGCGUGGGGGGCAAACAGG
RNAcentral lists this ribosomal RNA (429 nucleotides) under Gemmatimonadota bacterium. RNAcentral's name for it is "Gemmatimonadetes bacterium partial 16S ribosomal RNA". It matches the Rfam family "Bacterial small subunit ribosomal RNA", at positions 355 to 776 of the family's 1533-position model. The record is from RNAcentral. Lineage: Bacteria; Pseudomonadati; Gemmatimonadota.